Molecule: microRNA precursor, 58 nt
Filed under: Sorex araneus (European shrew)
Lineage: Eukaryota; Metazoa; Chordata; Mammalia; Eulipotyphla; Soricidae
Description: miRNA (ENSSARG00000017900.1)
Source: RNAcentral
GGCGGGGCUGGGCUGGGCUGGACUGGUCAGCUCUGCCGCCCAGCACUGCUGCUCAGUC